AGAACCUCCACCCUCCGGGCAGCCCAACCACCCAAACCCUAUCCCAUCCCACUCCAUCGUCGCCGCCCCCAGAUGCAAUCUCGCCGCCGCCACGCUCGCGCACGCUCGCCGCCGCCAUCCAUCCAUCCUCUCCAGCUCGCGCACGCUCGCCGCCGCCACGUCCACCGCCACGGCCGCACUCAGGGCGCAACGGCCUCCUCCCCACUCGCCGCCCUCCUCACCUCAUCCAAGGCCGCCUCCUCAUUCUACUCCGACGAUGACGGCGGGAUAGUCCCCGCAGACGAGCGGGGCUCCCUCUUCGUGUGACUCCCUGUUCAUUCUCAAGGAGGACAGAACCAGGCAUGUUGUGUGACAACACAAUUGGAGAAGUAAAGGUGAAGUUACUGACCAUUUGCUACAGAUUUUUUGAAAUAAGGUGCAAAAGUAAGUUCAUGAUCCAGAUUAGUUGAUCCAGUAUGUGUGUUUGUGAUAUGAAACUGGAGAUGAUAGAUAAGUCUUUUCACCGUAAACUGUAUUUGGUGCUCCUUGCCUCUUUGGUUGCACUAGAGCAAACCGAACAAUUGUUCGGGGCUGCCGGCAUGUGCUUGUAGGCAGUGUGUAUUCUGAUGCUCACAUGCUCUGUUUUCCCAUGAUAUACGACCUCUCUAUUCCUUAAACUGACAUACAUUUGCUUAUUGGGUCAUGCUAUGGAAUAAAGCUUUUCAGAAUGAACAUGAUCACAGAGAUAUAACCAAUCACGUUAAACUCAAAUGUGUUCUUGUAAGCUGAGGCUUCAUAGUAUUAGUUGGAAUAUUGACCAGUGGGUGAGAGUAGUUGCUGGUUAUUCAUGGAAUGGCAGGUGAGUGCACAGCUGCUAGUUACCUACAUCACUUUGAGGUCAUUGUCUGCACUCUUACCUUGUUGAGAUCAUCGUUUACCAGUGGGUGAUGAUGGGCAGAAUAUUGUCUUACCUUAUUUCAGUAGCUGAAUGUAAUUAUCAGGAUUGUACUCUACUUUCUAGCUGAAUGUAAUUAUCAGUAUCUUCUUUACCACGUCCCCUCUAACUCUCUGAUCCAUCAUCGCUCGAGCACCGGGACGCCAUGGAUAGGAUGGCCACUUCCUCCCCUGCCCGGACGCCAUGGAGUGGCUAGAUCUGGCCAUGGACGAUGACGCCCAGUGACAAGGGACGGCCUGGCCUGCCACCCUGAAGCCAUACCAAGGCGGAUGAACAAGGAGGAGACCACCGUCGGAGGGGAGCUAGGAGGGGUCUGAAGCGGUGGACUCUUUCGAGCGCAAAGACGGGUUUGCGGUGGAUGCUGGGUUGCAGCUCAGGUCGAUGGUGCGGCCAUGGACACAACCUCCUCAACCUCGACAACCAAUGCGUCGGCAGGGGAGCAACUAAUUCCUGAACCUUUGCUUCUCCUCUUUUAAUUCGAAGUUCUUAGUUUAGUUCCAGAUUUCUAUGCAUGCCACCUUGAUAUGUUUGAUGUUCAUCGAUCGUCCAGAUUUACUAGCACACCAGAUAGAAUUUGGGACUGAUGCCAUUCAAUAGAUUUUCUAGACAUUUUAUUGUGUCUCAUGCUGAAAAAGAAAAUGCACAAUGAGCUUGUUUGACUUUUUUGAUGCUUAGAGUAUACUUGAUCAGGGGGCAGUGUUAUUUCAUGUGAUCUUUCAUGUCAUUUGCUAGUGUGAUGCUUCAAGAUGACAAAUUUAAAAACCUAAACUAUUGUAAAUAAGCAUUCUACAUCUUGAGCAUUUAAAUGUGAGCACUUAACUAUUGUACAGCUUUUGCAUAUUUUGUUUUGUAUUUCUUUUAUAAACUAGCGGGGUGACCCGCGCAUUUGCACGGCUAGAUUUUACAAAAGAUGUAUCUCUGCUAAUAUAGAGAUUGUCUUGAAUACUCUACCUGGACCAUUUUUCUUAUAUGAACAUGUUUUUUUCUGGAAAACAAUACAUUGAAAACAAACCAUUAAUGGAAUAUUCCUUGAUGUAAUCAAGCUAAAGCUUUAAAAUGUUAAUAGUCAUUCUUAAAAAUGUUUAAGUGUACAAUUUUCUCUAUAGCUUUUAGGAUUCAUUGUCUAUAGCUAAUUAGAAACCAAAGGAUUAACAUGUUGAGGUUAUGCUUUAAGAAAUCCUUUCACAUAAUUUAAAAGUUCAAAUCUAAACAUUGUUAGAAGCUCUCUUCUACACUGUUCUCAUCAAAGCAUUUCUUUUUAAAUCAUUCAUAUGUUUUCAUCUAGUAAUUAAGUGAAACUAAUAUGACUUAUCACGUAUUUGAUAUUAUUUCUUACUUUGAAUAUUUACUCCUGUAUGAUGUAACCAUUCCAUGAUGGCUUUCACUUGAAAAACAUUAAUCAUUGCUGCUUCAAUGUAUUUUGUCUUGCCUGCCUUGAAAAUAUAGUCACUCACCGCCACAUCAUAUUGGAUUCAAUCUUACAUUUUUCAGGGUUUAAGAAAUUUUCAAUUAUUAUUCUUUUUAAUCUACUUCAGAUAGUUCUUAACAUGAGAAAGACAUAAAAUUUGAGUUGCCAAAACUCAACUCUCUUCCACAGUCCCAUCCAACUCAAUCUUGUCGAUACAUAUAUUACAUUUUUCUAAGUUUUGUUGACAAAGCAACCAACGUAUCUUGAUACAUCUGCUGCAUGUUACAUUCACAUGGGUUAUCCGUUUUCAUAUUGUGCAUGGUACAGAAAAUAAAUGAAAUUCUAAUUUUAUUUGAAACUGGAUCCGUGUUUCAGCACUGUUUUAGUUCCAAAGUUGCUUAGAUUUGUUUAUGUUAAAAAAGAAUGUACAUUACAUUAUAUUAUGGCUUAAAAAAUAAGCAGGGUGUAUCUUUAUUCUGUUAAAAUAGUUUAGUUAGGAUCCUGGACAUGAAAGAUGUACCUCACCUUCCUCCUAGAACUAAUGUAUAUACAUGUAAAAAUAGCUGGGUCUUACAUUGCGCUUCCACCUUUAAUUAUUUCUAUCAAGUUACGUUUACCGCAAAAUUCAGGCCCCAUUUGGAGUUCUAUAAAGUGUGAUAUUCUCGCAAAACUAAAAAAAAGGAGUAAAGCUUGAUAUUCCUAAAAAAUAUUAUAAUUUAAAUCAAAUGCCCACCGCAAAAAAAUUAAAUCAAAUGCAUUAAUUCUUGUUAGGGAUUUCAUAUGCAGAUCGGACAGCUUUGCUCUUUCUUUUCGUACUUUUCUUUAGCUAUGGACAUGGACGUGACAUUGAUUUAGGUGGCAGGUUUGCCUCUGUGUAGCGCUGGCUUUGGUUUUUUUUCUCCUAUUAGAAUUCAAAUCAGAAUUGGGCAUGUGUUGUUUUGCGUGCAAGUGUCCUUUUCAUAUACGUUGACUGUGGUUGCCCUUUUCCAUUACGGACAUAUGUACGUGGUAAACCUUUUUUUAGUUGAAACAUGGAGGAAUUUUUGUGUGUAAAAACAUUGCAACUUCACAAUAUUUGUAUGUAACGUUAAAUCUUUAAAUCUCGGCCGUCUAUAUCUAAAAUUAACGGUUGAGGUAAUUUAAUCUGUGUGGAUGAACGUAGUGGCUUAUUUGUCUUCUAUCUUAAUUAUGAUGAUAGUCUACGCAAGAUGUACACAUGUUAAUUUUUGUUGACUUGAAUCUGUUAUGCCCUUGAUUUUUUUACUUAGCUUAACCCAUAACAACAACAUCCUUGAUAUUUACUGAUCCCCACCUCGCUCUUUGCACUCGCAGACAUGAAGGCAUCUAUCGUCCCAGCUUUCAGAAUGGAGAAACUAAUCAUUCGGUGGUGGUGACCCAUAUGAUGGCGAUUCGCUCCGGCCAUUCCAAUUUUGGCGGUGGUGGUGUUGCUGCUCCUAUGACGGUAGACUCGUCUGAUUCCCCUAGCCACAUCCAUGGUGAUGAAGCUCGGCCUAGGCUAGAACCCCCUCCGAUUUUCUUAAGAUCACGGAAGCUUGGGUUGAUGGAGUGCUUGUAUUUAGUUUUUGUUUUG
This is a long non-coding RNA of Triticum aestivum (bread wheat), 3933 nucleotides long. RefSeq lists it as uncharacterized. NCBI's taxonomy places the organism in Eukaryota, Viridiplantae, Streptophyta, Magnoliopsida, Poales, Poaceae. The record is from RefSeq and is a predicted model, not a curated record. The transcript has 3 exons.